UGCUGCGAAGCGCGAAGGUGCCGAGAAGAAACCGGAUCAACUUCUGUUACUACUGCUAAAACUCCGGAAAGGGUCGGAGCCGCCGAGUGGACGCCGCGUCUGCUGCGCGAUCUCCGGUGAUGGCGCGAAGGGUGAUGUGUGGCAAGGAGGAACUCAGUUUGUGACCAGGGAAACUGAGUCACUGGAUGCCUGAGCAAAGAUGAUUUUGACAAGGGAAACAGGACUGUUCUCAGACCUUUCCCAAAUUCCCAGAGAACUGGAAAAGCCAGCGUGAGUGGUGAGAAAAUUGCCUGGAGCCGGGAAGAAACCAGUCCCAGAGGAAAACAGAACUGAAGUACUCGCCACCAUUGUGUAAUGAAGAAUCCUCAUGGUGGAAUAAGUGGAGUAAAUCCUAAACCAAACCCCUCUCCCCAAAGCACUCCCCUCCUUGGUUUCCCCCUUUCUCUGAAAGCUGACGGCCAAUGUCCAGCAGCAGAAGGCCACCCUCCUGUCUUGAUAUCCCCUCCUGGCCCACUCAGGAGUCUAAGGUCAGGACAAGUUACCUGUACAUCCUUCCAGGUGGUGAUAAGACUGACUUCCAAGUCAAUCUGAGCUACCUGGUCAGAGUCAAUCUGUGGAAGAGUCAAAAAGAAGUGUGUAUUGUGGAGGCGGGGGGUGGUGCUAGGAAAUGAGGGAAGAAGGGAGAGAUGUACAAGGCCAGAGGGUCUAUAUGAG
Molecule: long non-coding RNA, 714 nt
Organism: Prionailurus viverrinus (fishing cat)
Lineage: Eukaryota; Metazoa; Chordata; Mammalia; Carnivora; Felidae
Exons: 3
Source: RefSeq, a predicted model, not a curated record